AACGUAGGAGGCGAGCGUUAUCCGGAUUUACUGGGCGUAAAGCGCGCGCAGGCGGCUUCGUAAGUUGGAUGUGAAAGCUCCUGGCUUAACUGGGAGAGGCCAUUCGAAACUGCGGGGCUUGAGGUUGGGAGAGGGGUGCGGAAUUCCCGGUGUAGUGGUGGAAUGCGUAGAUAUCGGGAGGAACACCAGUGGCGAAGGCGGCACCCUGGCCCACACCUGACGCUGAGGUGCGAAAGCGUGGGUAGCAAACAGG
Molecule: ribosomal RNA, 253 nt
Filed under: uncultured bacterium
Lineage: Bacteria
Description: partial 16S ribosomal RNA
Rfam family: Bacterial small subunit ribosomal RNA
Source: RNAcentral